Molecule: unclassified non-coding RNA, 309 nt
Filed under: plant metagenome
Description: partial contains 5.8S ribosomal RNA, internal transcribed spacer 2, and large subunit ribosomal RNA
Rfam family: 5.8S ribosomal RNA (bases 1-105)
Source: RNAcentral
GAAAUGCGAUAAGUAAUGUGAAUUGCAGAAUUCAGUGAAUCAUCGAAUCUUUGAACGCACAUUGCGCCCGCCAGUAUUCUGGCGGGCAUGCCUGUUCGAGCGUCAUUUCAACCAUCAAGCCCCCGGGCUUGUGUUGGGGACCUGCGGCUGCCGCAGGCCCCGAAAACCAGUGGCGGGCUCGCUGUCACACCGGGCGUAGUAGAUUUUUCGUCUCGCCCAGGGCGUGCUGCGGGUUCCGGCUGUUAAAAAGCCUCUCUUUUAACCCAAGGUUGACCUCGGAUCAGGUAGGAAGACCCGCUGAACUUAAGC